UUUGUUUUUUGCCUUCUGUAGUGGUCUUGCUUUUCUAGGACUGCAGCAGUGAAGAUGAGCAAAGAAUUGCAGGAGAGUUGACUUGCAGAGAAUUGUUGUGUUGGCUUGAGAUGACUUGCUUCUAACUGAAGGCUGUGCAUAUGGAAAGACCAGGACUCCGUGUUUCCCAGAUGUGUGUCUGUGCUGCUGUAAGGACAUGCUUUUUCAUUGGACUGCAAUGUAAACUUUGACUCCUGCUUUCUGGAAACAGUGUGGCACAACGAAUCAGUAGCACUUCAGGUUGUUUAUACUGUGUUUUCAGAUAUUUAUACUUGAAG
Nothoprocta perdicaria is the source of this 317-nucleotide long non-coding RNA. RefSeq lists it as uncharacterized. Lineage: Eukaryota; Metazoa; Chordata; Aves; Tinamiformes; Tinamidae. The transcript has 2 exons. The record is from RefSeq and is a predicted model, not a curated record.